RNAcentral lists this long non-coding RNA (979 nucleotides) under Homo sapiens (human). RNAcentral's name for it is "HSALNT0269864". Lineage: Eukaryota; Metazoa; Chordata; Mammalia; Primates; Hominidae. The record is from RNAcentral.
GGGUUCUGUGUUUGUCCCUUUAUUCAUUCAACUACUUAUUAAGCACCUACUGGGAGUCAGACACUUUUUCUAAGUACUAAGAUUACCCCUGGGAACAAGAUGGUGCCUCCAUGAGAUGCCUCCAAGAACUAAGACAAAACAAAGAAUUAACUAAUAUGACAUUGGGCUUGAUGAAAGAGACAGUAAUGGGAAGGGCAGAGAAAGAUGUGUAGCGUGAAGAAACUGGCACCAUUUUGACUGGAGUGAAGAGGAAAUUUGAGCAGAGACUCAAAGAGGCGAACCCACGCAGUCAUGGGAAGUGUUCCACACAGGUGGAAGUACACGAUUACAGGUCAAGGACAGCUUCUUGGGGAAAACUCUGACCUCUCAGGCUAGGUUGAGUCACCCAUUGCUGAUGCUCCGGAGAAGACCCAGGACUUCUCCUUAGAGCAUACUUCAGCAUUUCUGAAGAUACCACUUUCUCUGAUCCUGUUUCUGGGCUGAUGUGGAGAGUGUCUGUCACCCCUGCGACAUUGCUAGAAGCUGCAGGUCACCAUCUCCUUGUCCACCGCUGUGGUCCCAGUACCUAGGCUGGGGCCUGACAGGUGGUAGAUGCUCCACAGAGGUGCUCGCUGCCCUCCCCGCAUUCUCUUGUUUCAUCUUCACAGCUCCACUGUGUGAGUGCUGCCGUUAUCCCCACUUUCCGAAUGCAGAAACCGAGACUCAGAAGGGGAGGUGGCUUGCCAGAGCCAGGCAGGUGUUUAAACAGGCAUGUGCAUGUCACCCAGUCAGAGCCAGUGACUCAUCAGCAACGUUGGUUGGAGCUUCCAGGAAAGAGAUGCCAUCUGCCCCACUGGAGAGCCUCGGGUUGAAGGCGAAGCCGUGGAAGACGGACCAGAGCCUGGAGGGGAUCAGGCCUGCAGUGGCAUCGUCGGAGGCACUGCAUCACGCCUCACCUGAACGAGACAUGCAUCCGGGCACCCCAAUCCCUAUGUUCUAA